AAGGCUUUAACUUAAUUAAAGUGUCUGUGUUGCAUGCAGAAGAUGUAGGUUAAUGUCCUGCAAGCUUUA
RNAcentral lists this transfer RNA (69 nucleotides) under Grammoplites scaber (rough flathead). Its description in RNAcentral is "tRNA-Ala". It matches the Rfam family "tRNA". Rfam says of the family: Transfer RNA (tRNA) molecules are approximately 80 nucleotides in length. Their secondary structure includes four short double-helical elements and three loops (D, anti-codon, and T loops). Further hydrogen bonds mediate the characteristic L-shaped molecular structure. tRNAs have two regions of fundamental functional importance: the anti-codon, which is responsible for specific mRNA codon recognition, and the 3' end, to which the tRNAs corresponding amino acid is attached (by aminoacyl-tRNA synthetases). tRNAs cope with the degeneracy of the genetic code in two manners: having more than one tRNA (with a specific anti-codon) for a particular amino acid; and 'wobble' base-pairing, i.e. permitting non-standard base-pairing at the 3rd anti-codon position. The record is from RNAcentral. Lineage: Eukaryota; Metazoa; Chordata; Actinopteri; Perciformes; Platycephalidae. RNAcentral also lists the same sequence under 1 other name.